This 281-nucleotide long non-coding RNA is filed under the name Musa acuminata (dwarf banana). RNAcentral describes it as "long non-coding RNA (MACU_LNC008506)". The record is from RNAcentral. Lineage: Eukaryota; Viridiplantae; Streptophyta; Magnoliopsida; Zingiberales; Musaceae.
AUGGGUUUCCAAUUCUGAGAGAUCAAAUAGGAUUAUAUCUAUAUCACAUUUGUAAUUUUAACUUUCUAAUCCUCUUCUGUUAUUUAGGCUAGAGAGCAUCGCGAGUUCUUUUUGGAUCUCGUGUCAUGAAUAUCGAGAAUCCAAAGAGCAGGAUAUUAUUUCUUGCUCCCAGCUUAAGAUGUUUUAUGUCUUUACAAGAAAGGAUGAUCUUUAGGUACCCAUUUUCUUUUGGGUGCCUCAAAAAUAGAUCUACAUUGUUUAUCAUGUUGCAUAGAAUUUAU